AGAGUUUGAUCCUGGCUCAGAACGAACGCUGGCGGCAGGCCUAAUACAUGCAAGUCGAGCGGGCGUAGCAAUACGUCAGCGGCGGACGGGUGAGUAACACGUGGGAAUAUGCCCCGAGGUACGGGACAGCUCAGGGAAACUUGAGCUAAUACCGUAUGAUCCGGCAACGGCAAAGAUUUAUCGCCUUGGGAUUAGCCCGCGUCCGAUUAGCUAGUUGGUGAGGUAAUGGCCCACCAAGGCACCGAUCGGUAGCUGGUUUGAGAGAACGACCAGCCACACUGGGACUGAGACACGGCCCAGACUCCUACGGGAGGCAGCAGUAGGGAAUCUUGGACAAUGGGGGAAACCCUGAUCCAGCCAUGCCGCGUGAGUGAUGAAGGCCUUCGGGUUGUAAAACUCUUUCGACGGGGACGAUAAUGACGGUACCCGUAGAAGAAGCUCCGGCUAACUUCGUGCCAGCAGCCGCGGUAAUACGAAGGGGGCUAGCGUUGUUCGGAAUUACUGGGCGUAAAGCGCGCGCAGGCGGCCUUUCAAGUCAGGGGUGAAAGCCCAGAGCUCAACUCUGGAAUUGCCUUUGAAACUGUCAGGCUUGAGUACGGGAGAGGUGAGUGGAAUUCCCAGUGUAGAGGUGAAAUUCGUAGAUAUUGGGAAGAACACCGGUGGCGAAGGCGGCUCACUGGCCCGUUUCUGNNGCUCAUGCGCGACAGCGUGGGGAUCAAACAGGAUUAGAUACCCCAGUAGUCC
RNAcentral lists this ribosomal RNA (744 nucleotides) under uncultured bacterium. RNAcentral's name for it is "bacterial SSU rRNA". It matches the Rfam family "Bacterial small subunit ribosomal RNA", at positions 8 to 796 of the family's 1533-position model. The record is from RNAcentral.